Molecule: long non-coding RNA, 1359 nt
Filed under: Ictidomys tridecemlineatus (thirteen-lined ground squirrel)
Lineage: Eukaryota; Metazoa; Chordata; Mammalia; Rodentia; Sciuridae
Description: lncRNA (ENSSTOG00000031655.1)
Source: RNAcentral
UGGCGUCUAUGUAUUUACAAAUUCUCUUCCUCUUCCCUUUUUUCAUUUUUCCAAGUCCUACCUUUCCUUGGAGAUUGAGGGUGGCAUCCUCUGGCUCUGAGGAAUGGCCUGAUCUGCUCCUACUGUUAACCUUCACCUUGUGUGUGCCUCCCUUGGUGCUGGACACAUGGGGCUGGGAGUGCUGCAAGGUGUCUAGCACACCUUGCUGGGUGUCUACACUUGCUACGAGUUACCUCCACAUCCGAGGAGGCUUAUUUCUUCCAGAAUGCCUGCCCCACUGCUACUAAGGUAAGAAUUACUCCUCUUGGGAAUAUUAAAGAAGGGAAAUGAUGGAGGGAACCAAAUGUGACCCCAAAGUGGCAUUGGGGGAAAAAAUGUCACAACAACAUUUUGGAAAGUAACAAGCAGGUGGAGAAAUGUCCUGGGGUCUGAAGUGCUCUAGGGUGACGGAGACAAUCCCACCAGAUGGACAGAGACCCCAGCCCUUUCAUGGCUAAUGCCCAUCUGCCCCUCUGGACCUGUAUCCUUCUCUGUGAAUGAGGAUGUAGGGCAGGUUCUGACCUCCUAGGUCUUGCUGGGCCUCCAAUCAAAGUCAGUUUGUGGGCAGGCUGGGGUCUAAGAACAGCUCCCUCCCUUGGAACCCGUCCUCACCCCUUCCUAACUCCUGCCUGUACUUUCCAUGUGUCCCUCCACGGCUCCACCCUGCCCUGUCUCCCUGCUCUCUCUUUAGAUGAUGCUUGCUUGUCCUACAAGCCUUAAUUUCCAUUUUUCUUGGGGUGGGGAGAGGUUGAAGAAGGAAGAAGACUGGAGUAAGGGGGUCCUUCCCACUUGGGAGCCUGACUUCUCCCCCACCACCUCCAGGCGGGCGCUGUGCCCCUCAUCCCUCCACAGACGGCUGCUCACCUGGAAGCCAGCAGUUGGCUGCUGCAGCCUGAAGAGUUGGUGCGCCGCAGCCCCCACCGCGGAGCCACUUCUUCAAUCAGAUCCCAGGAGGUUCACUCCUCUGCAUCUGAUCUUGCUGUUGUGGCUGGGCGUGGGACCAAAAGAGCCAGGCAGCCAUGGUGAGGAGGAUGGUGGAGACAAGUAGCAUUUCUCCACGUGAGUUCCAGCAGGGGAGGAGGGCGCAGCUGCUUCAGAAGCUGGUCUUUGUCUAUCUGGGUCUAAAUGGUUCUGCUGAGGAGUCUAGGGUCCCAGUGUGGGAUGCCAGCCACCUAUCCACCUGGCUCACUCAGAGCAGGGUUUGCCUUGGUGCUCUGGGAGCUCCCUGUGGAUGCUAUGGACAGAGACCAGGCAGAGCAGGUGUCCCCUGUCAGUUCUGUGGGGGCAUUGAGCCAGCACGGUCAGGACAGAGGCUCUCCA